GUUCUGGCCGCUGCGUCGUCAUGACAACCGGCCGCGCUCAGCUCUGCUUCUAAAUUGGCUGAAGAGAAAUGGCGGGUUACUUAACCUUGGACCUUGUAUGUUUUCAUUACCCACUCUGUUUUCACGGUGGUUGUGAAGGUCAAGUGCAGAGGCAGUAAUGGAUGUGAAAUGGCACCCAUACCAAUGAGACGCUCGUGUAUAGAAGAGACCUGAGGGCAUGUGACCUAGGAAUGUGCAUCCCAAGAUAAUACUACUUUCAGAGAACUCUCCUUAUAGGACUCACUGCCUAUUUCUUAGUUCUGGGAACACAACUCAGACAAGUCGGUGAAGUUAAAUGAAGAUGUUGGAAUGAUUGUGAUUCCAAAGAGCCAAACUGCUGAAUGAGAAUGAAGGUGGCCAAUUACCACCUUCUAACAUACUGUAAUGCUUAUUUAUUAUGACUAUCGUUCAUUGCCUUUGUCCUUCUUCAUAAUGUUACUUCCCCAAAGGCAGGGGUAUUUGACUUCUUUGUUUAUCGAUGUAUCCAAAAGGCCUAAAACAAAGCCUUGCGCCUUGUAGACACUCAGUAAAUAUUUGCCGACUUGAAUAAAUAGCUGCAGGUCUAUCAGACUAUGCUGCUUUGAAGAACAUGCUGAAGUGUGGUCUAAGACAAGGUCAUUAACAUCCUCAUCCCAUCUGGCCCCUUGGACUUUAUUUGGGCCUUUGUGAUUAGAAAGAUAAGGUCUGUUGGAACUGUUUCAGGGAGAUUCUGGGAAACAAAAUAGCUGCCCAGGGGCCUGGGAGGAGAAAAGUGAUAAAUAAUAAAGAAGAAGAAGAAAAAAAAAACAUGAGAUACAAACAAACUCGAAAAAGAAAUGGAAUGGGCUUCAGGUAAUCCUCCUACACGUAACAGCUAUAAAUUCUGAACAUAAUAUAAAAAGCAGCUGUCCAAAGAUACUGAAGAACAACUGAACAGGCAAAUGCAGGAGUGGAGUCUCCAUUUGGAAGAAGGGAAUGGCAAUGGGCAAGUUUCCUAUGAUUAGUGCUCUUUGCUGUAAAGCAGGACCCAAGUCAUGCCAAAUAGGAGUGACUAAAACCUGUAUAAAAAACCUGUAGUCUUCCUGGCAUGAAGCGCCGGGAGUCAGAGUUCAAAGUGCUUACAGUAAUUAGAAAAUAAAAGAGGAAUCUUGGAAAGAGAGAGUUAAAGAGGGCAUGGGUAAUGUGUUGAUGCAUAUAAACUCUGCCCAUGUCAUUGCUGGCACCCCAACCAUGUGAGCAAGCAGCCCAGCACAGGCUAAAGGAACUAGACCAAAAUUUCUGUUCUGCUCACUACAAGGGAGACAGUUCGGAGUCUGAGGUCAAUUAAGUUAGCUGCCUGCUUUUAAAAAAUCAGUACUCUUCAGAGGAACACAACAGAAUCCAGAGGCUCUACAAUAUAUCACUGACAAUUUCUUGGAUGUCACCGAAAGAAAAUGUGAGUCAAAAGGCAAUCAAUGGAGACUGACGCUGAGAUAAUUCAGUGGCUUGAAUUAACAGACAAGGAUUUUAAAUCAGCUUUUGUAACUAUGAAAGAUAACUGAGAGAAAUAUAAAGUUUAGUUUCUUUUAAAACUAUGUAAUUAUUAUUUGUAAUUUAUUUUGAAAUAGUUUAUAUAUCAAGAAAAACUUGAAAUUAAUAUAGCAAACAUUUGCAUACUUUCCUCCUAAUUUAAGGAAUAAGCCUUACCAAAUACUCUUAAACUCUACCAUUUAACCAUCUCUGAAUAUAUUUCUCUAUAUACACUCCCAACAGACCACUAUAUUGAGUUUUAUCAUUACCUCAACUUUUUAAUAUAAGUACACUUAUUGUUAAGCAUACAGUUUAAUUUUGCAUGCUUUUUAACUCUAAAUAAAUUGCAUUAUACUUAAUGCUGUCUCCUGCAACUUAUAGUCUUUACUCAAUAUUGUUUUUUGAUAUUCGUUGAGGUGCACAUAGCUGCUGUUCAUUCACUUUCACCACCCUACAAUAUUUUAUGAACAUAUUUCCAUUUACUUUUUCAUUCUCUCUUCCAAGAAUAUUUGGGUUGUUACAGUUUUUUUGUUUUCGCUGUUACCCACAAAUGCUGCUAUGAACAUUCUUGUACAAAAAAUCAUAUUUACGUGUUUAAGAGUUUCUCCAGAACAGUGGUCCUCAAAGUGUGGUCCUACACCAACGGCAUCAGUUUGAUCUGGGAUCUUGUUAGCAGUGCAAAUCUUUGGACCCCACCACAGACCUACUGAAUUAGAAACUCUGGAGAUGGGGCCAGCAAUCUUUCCAGGAGAUUCUGAUACAGAGUCCAAUUUGAAAACCACUGCCGGAGAACUGAAUCGUAGGAAGGUACCUGCAGCCUGAUUGGAUAACAUCAAAUGACUGUCUAACGCAAUUUUAUCAGCUUACACUCUCACCCAUCAUUAUAUGAGUUUAUACUGUUUAGCAUCCUUACUGAUACUUCAUAGUCUUGGAAUUUUUAAUUUUUCGACCUAUCCAUUUGGUACAAAACGGUACCAACUGUGAUUUUAUUUUAGUCUUCCUUGAAUCUAAUGAGAUUGAAUAUCUUUUUAUUCACUGUUAGACAUUCAUACUUCCCUUUCUAUGAAAUGUCCGUACCUGUCUUUUGCUCAUUUUUCUAUUGGAUUGUUUGUCUUUCUCAUAUUAAGUAGUACACUCAUCCUUGUCAGUCAGAUGUUUUGCACAGACCUCUUCCAGUCUUGUGCCUUUUCUUUUCACUUUCAAAUGGUCUUUUGAUAAGCAGAAGUCUUUCAUUUUAUGUAGUCAAAUUGAUCAUUUUUCUAUGUGGUUGGUGUUUUUUGUAUCUUAUUUAAGAAAUGCUGCCACAUGAUGAUGUCAAAGGGAAAAAUGCUUCUCUACUAUUAGAUAAUAAAUAUGUACUUUUAUUUUCUUCUAAAAGUAUUAAUAAUUUGCUUUCACAUUUUAGUCUUAUAUCCACAUUGACUUUAUUUUGUAUGGUGUGAGAUAGAAAUCCACUUGUUUUCCACAUGGAUAACCAACUGCCCCAGUU
Long non-coding RNA from Pteropus alecto (black flying fox), 3016 nucleotides. RefSeq lists it as uncharacterized. The transcript has 4 exons. NCBI's taxonomy places the organism in Eukaryota, Metazoa, Chordata, Mammalia, Chiroptera, Pteropodidae. The record is from RefSeq and is a predicted model, not a curated record.